AGUCCUUCUCACAAAAACUAGUCAAACAAAAUCCCUCACUACAUACUCUUUCACGAUCUGAUUGAUCUCUUAAUUGAUUUCUCAAACUUCUAUAUCUUUUUUAUUUCCUUAAUUUCUCUCAUCUUCCAAUUGAUUUCUCAAACUUCCAAUUGAUUUCCUAAAAUUAAUGGCAGCCCUAGGCAGAUGACAAUGCUUCUCAACAAUUUUGUUCUUCAACGAUCAAUGGGACUUUUCAGCAAUUUUGUUCUCUGACGAUUAGUGGAACAUUUUGGAGAGUUCAUUCUCUAGUAUUAUUUUCAGCAAGUACUAAUCCUAAACAUGAAUGCAUCUUCAUAUUCCAUUUUCCUUCUCUCUCUACGCUCUAAGCUCUACCAUCACGAUCUCUCUCUCUCUUGCAAUCUCAGCCAAGAAGUCGCUGCCGGCGCCGUUUCCCGCUAAGUCCAGAUAAUUUUAUGAUUUGUUUUCUUUUCUCAGGCUGUGUUUUUUGUUUCUUAUCCAUGGAUUUAUGCUACUGUGCGGUGGAUUGGGAAAAAUAAUAGGCUCUUGCCAAUAGAGAACAAGCCAACAAAAAAUCGGACUUCUUUGUUCCGUAUAAUAUUCUACCACUUGAUCAUGGAGGUAUUCAGCAAGCAAUAAUACAAAUAAAUGAGGUUUGGUGCUGUUUGGAUGAUCCAAUUUUUCUUUCUUUAUUAGUUUUUUCAAUUCUAAUUAAAGACUCAAGUUAGAGUUUAUGUACACAUUGUUGGAACAGCACCAUGGUGUUAGAAUAUUUAAGCAUUAUGAUAAACUUGCCUAAAUGACACAAAUAAAGGCUGCAAUUGCAAUUGUUCGCAAUGUCCAUGGUUUACCUUCAGCCCAAGACUUUCAGAGGCAUGGAGAAUUCAUUGACUUGUGUGAUUUUCUUCAGUAUUGCUUUGGAUUCCAGGAAGGCAAUCUUGCCAACCAGAGGGAACAUCUGAUUCUUCUCCUUGCCAAUAUUCACAUUCGGAAAGCUAAUAAGCAGUCUAUCUUGAAGGCUGCCUUACGUAAAACAAGAGGCUCAGCAAUAUAAACUUUUGUACAUUGGGCUUUACCUUCUUAUUUGGGGAGAGGCUGCAAACUUGCAGUUCAUGCCAGAGUGUUUAUGUUAUAUUUUUCACCAUAUGGCUUCUGAAUUGCAUGGUAUGUUAACUAGAGUUUAUUAAUCCCAAAAUAUGGGAGAAAGUCAUGCCAGCAUAUGGUGGACCAGAGUCUUUCCUUAACAACGUAGUUGCCCCCAUAUACACAGUUAUACAAGAGGAAGCCAUGAAAAGUAAAAAUGGGACAACUGACCAUUCAAUUUGGAGAAACUAUGACGAUCUCAAUGAGUAUUUUUGGUCUCCUUAUUGUUUCCAAAUAGGAUGGUUGAUGCGUCUGGUCCACAAUUUCUUCUGUACUAAAUUACCCAGAGAUAAGGAGGCUUUAGAAUCAAGUAAAGCUAAAGAGAUAAGAGGAAUAAGACGAAGAAGAGGACGAAGAAGAGGACGAGGACGAAGAAUUUGGGGUUUUGAGUUUGAGUGAGAAGCUUCACUCUGUGACCUCACAGUUUGAUCAGCUGAGAGCCAUAUGCUUCCAAGAAGCCAUUAGUAGAGUAACACCAAGAAGAAAAUAUAAGCCUAUUACCAAACCAAGUUCAGAAAAUUCAUCUCAAUUAAACAGUUUUGAGCCUAGAGAAGCUGAUCAAUUUCAACCAAGCCUCUAAAAGUCAAGCAAUAGCUCUUAGAUGAUGAAACAAGUGCUCUUCAGGUUAUUAUUGUGAUUGCUCACCAGUGGUGUAACUACCCAAAUUUGCUAAUAGGGCUUAGGGCCUUGAUUAGCGUGCCUGGAGGGCAAUAAAUGAAUUAAUAUGCUAAUAUGUGAAUUUAUGUGAACAUAUGAUAAAGAUGCAUGUUUAGUUGAGUUAAAUGUGCAUGUGGGCCCCAUUUGGAUAGUAGGGGUAUAACUGUGACAAAUGCAAUAUGUAUGUGAUUUAUCUGUGUAGCACGGCUCGAGACAGUCCUGGGGAGCGGUUAGCUAGAAAGUCACAACGGGGUGGAGAAUCCGACUCAGGGCGAGUCGAGGGGUAAUUUGGGUAUUAGUUAUUAUAUUGGGUUAUCGGGGAAUGGAAAUAAAUAUUUGGAGAUAUAUUUGAGGUUAGAAUGUCUAGGAGGGAAUACUGGGGAAAUUUACCAUUUUGCCCUCGGGGACGUUUUGGUACCCCGAGCCUUGAGGUAACCUUAAAGCUUAAGUUAAAUAAAACAAAGUUUAGGAAGCUAGUGGAGACUUAGAAACCGACAUUCACCUUUCCUUCCCAGCUGAAGAUAGUUUCUCAUCUCUCUCUCUUUCACUCUCUAAGACAAACUCAAGGGAAUUAAGCUUUGGGUGGCCAUUAGCCAAGAACUAAGGAUUGAAGCUGAGCUUGGGAUUUAGAGAAUCUGCAUAGAAGUAUAGUUCAUCAAGAUAAGUUCUUAAUAUGUUGAUUUGAGCAAAUUUUGUAGCUGGUUUAAGGUUGUAUAUUGAAGUUGCAUGUGGGCUAAGUUUGAAUUGGGAUUUGAUUGUUAGGCUGAGUUUUGGGGGCUGGCUUUUGAUAGGUUUCGAUGUUAAAACUGGGCUAGAACCUUUGUGAUGAUUAUCUAGGAUUGCUAGUUUGGUUUUGGGUGAAUUGGUUUGAAGAAAAUGCAGGAACAGGAUGAAGAUUUCUGGGUUGGAGGCUAGGACCGCGGCCCUAGGAGGGGCAUGCCGCGGCCCGUGUGCGCGCGCGGCCAUGGGAGGCCAAGAAGCUUGAGGCGCGCCGCGGCACUUGGUGAUGCGCGCCGCGGCCCGUGUGUGUUACAGGGAAGUGCUAGCCUUUGUUUCGAGGCUAGCCGUGACGCUUGUGGGUAAGGCCGCAGCUCUUAGUGUCAGUUUGAGUUUUUAAGUGUGUUUAGGUUUGGGAACUCAGUGGUUAAGGCUCGGGAUGGAUUUUAUCACCCAGAUUGAUAGAAUUCAAGGUCCCGGAGGUUAGAGUUAUGGCUCGAAGUUAUUUAAUGGGUUAGAACUUGAUGGAUGAAUAUUGUUAAUGUGUUGUUACUAGGGUUUCGGCAAGGCUCAAGUUAGAGGACUGUGCUCGGGGUAUCGGUGCUCGGAGAGCUCGGGACGCAGGUAAGAAAACCCUUGUUCCCAUAGAGCUUGUAUGCAGGGCUGAGAGCAAUAUGUUUGAAUUGCAUGGCGUAGCCCUUUGAUUGAAUUUGUUAGUGUUCAGUAUAUGUUUAUUAUGCUAUGAGUGCAAUUAUGUGAAUGAUCGGCGAGAGCCGGGAACGGUAAAGGGUCGGGAACGGUGUUGGGCACGUUGAGUGCAAGGCCGAGUACGGCAUGGGGCUGGGAGCAGCGUUGAGCACGUGGAGUGUGAUUUGCCAGGGCGAGACCCUAAAGGAUACCUGGGAUAUCCUCACGGUGUAGACCGCGAACCCAGGGCCUGGUAAAGCGCCUGGGACGACUUGUCCAUAUGUGUUUAGCCUAUUGAUGGCUUGUUUAUAUGCUUGGUGUAUGUUUUGCAUAUGUUAUCUGUUUGUGGGUUUUCUUGCUGGGCUUCGGCUCACAGAUGAUCUGUGGUGCAGGUAAGGGCAAUGAGAAAGUCAACCAACCUUGAGUGUAGCAAGCAUGAGGUGACGUGUACAUGUUUGGUCUACCUGGCUGCCAUAGGCAGUGGAUUUUGGGAGAUGAAUGUAAUAAAACCUAGAUUUUUUCGUUUAGCUGACUUGGUUGUAUUUAUAUGUUGUAAAUAUUUUGAAACAGUAUUUUGGGAUCCCAAGUGUUAAACUUUUAUGAUUUCCAAUGGAAUAGAGUUAUUUCCAAGGUUUUUACUCUGAUUAUGGCUUAAUUACACUUUUGCUUUAAAAACCUCGAUUAGCGAGUGAUUGCAUGUUUUAAACUCACUUAGUAACGGUUCUAAGGUAGUAGGGCGUUACAACUUGUGUAUCUUUCUAUGUUUCAUCAUGUUUGUCCUGUAUUGUUCAAUCUCCGUCUUUAGUGGUUUCUUUAAAA
Molecule: RNA transcript, 4020 nt
Organism: Humulus lupulus (European hop)
Lineage: Eukaryota; Viridiplantae; Streptophyta; Magnoliopsida; Rosales; Cannabaceae
Gene name: putative callose synthase 8
Exons: 8
Source: RefSeq, a predicted model, not a curated record